RNAcentral lists this long non-coding RNA (1008 nucleotides) under Canis lupus familiaris (dog). Its description in RNAcentral is "lncRNA (ENSCAFG00040000342.1)". The record is from RNAcentral. Lineage: Eukaryota; Metazoa; Chordata; Mammalia; Carnivora; Canidae.
AUGCCCCCCCCCCCGCCCCAAAAGGCAGAACUAGGAUCGCGCUGCUUCCCGGAGCGGCACGAGCGCUUGGCUCAGGUUUCCGCGGGGUCCGGAGCCUCUGGCGUUGAGCACAGAAAGCAGUUCUGCCCGCAGAUGCCUCCAAGACUCAAGUUUCCCGGAGCCGGGGUGGGGGGCGGGGGCAGCACGCCCCGCACGAAGAAAGCGCUCUGCAAACCGCCAAGCCGCUGGGCAAACCGGAGCUUCGGAAACAAUACCUCGGAGAGGCGGGGAGGGGGCCAACAACUUGCCGACCAUGGGCGCCGGCCGCUGCCGGGGGACGGGGUGGAGGGUGGAGGGUGGAGGGGGGCGCGGUGGCGGGAAGGGCCAGGCGCUGCUGCAGCCCCCCCCCCCCCCCCCCCCCCCGCAGCCCGCGCGCUCCGAGAGCCCGUUUCCGGGGUCGGGGUCCCAGGUGACCGCACGGCCCAGGCCAGCCGCGCCCCCGACCCCUGUCGGCCCGUCCGGGUCGCAGCCCCCCCUCCCUCCGCCCCCCGGGCAGCCCCCGCCGGCUCACCUGCGCGCGCCCGGCGUCCUCCGCUUCCCCCCUCGGGAGGCGUCUGGAGCCGACCCGCGGCGCCGUCCCGCCUCCCGCGCUCGCCCCGCCCCCUCCGAGCCGGAACCGCGGGCUUCCGGGCGCUUCUCCCCGCCCCCUCGCCCCUAGUGUGGCGUCACUUCCGCCAGCGCCCGGCCGCGCGCCGCGAGCGUGGGCGUCGCGCACGCGCCGGGAGCGCCCCAGAGUCGGGAGCGCGCCCCGCGGAUGACAACAAAUUCGUCGCGCGGCGGAGGCGGUGGAGGAGUCCGCCUCGGUACCUGCCGCGGGCCGUGCCGCGUGCGCCCCUGCAUCCUGCCUGCGUGACGACUGGGGCCCUCGCGGAGGCCUCCCCACGCCCCCACACCCCCCCGGGCCUGGGGCGUCGGGUCCCCGCCGGGCCUAGCGCGAGCCGCGCGGCGCGGGCCAUGGGGUCGCCCUGA